This 954-nucleotide ribosomal RNA is filed under the name Kallymenia reniformis. RNAcentral describes it as "eukaryotic LSU rRNA". It matches the Rfam family "Eukaryotic large subunit ribosomal RNA", at positions 166 to 1204 of the family's 3401-position model. The record is from RNAcentral. Lineage: Eukaryota; Rhodophyta; Florideophyceae; Gigartinales; Kallymeniaceae.
GAGGUGUCAGUGCGGGUAAGUUGUAUGGAAAUACAUGCCGCGGAGGGUGAGAGUCCCGUCCAGCCUGCACAGGACACCUUGUACGAGAGCGUCUCUGACGAGUCGGGUAGCUUGGGAAUGCUGCUCUAAUUGGUGGUAAAUCUCAUCAAAGGCUAAAUAGUGACCGGAAACCGAUAGCGAACAAGUACCGUGAGGGAAAGAUGACAAGCACUUUGAAAAGAGGGUGAAAAGAACCUGAAACCGUCAUGGGGGAAGCGGAUUGCGUUGAGUAAAAGGGAUGUUGUGUGUUCAGCCUUUGAGGUGCAUUGGCGCAACAACCCGAUCUGUCGUGGGUUCUGCGCGGUUGAUUUUGAACCGUGCAGGGCUGAGGGCUCCCUUUUAUAGGUGAGGACGAUUAGAUAGUGACGCGAUACGACCCGUCUUGAAACACGGACCAAGGAGUCUAGCGCUACUGCGAGUCAAAGGGUGCAAGCCUGAGGGCGCAGUGAAAGCGAGUUUGAAAACGAGCAGUUUGGGGCGGCAUGAGAUUGUUAAUUUCAAGUCCGACCUUGAGCAGUUGCGCUGGGACCCGAAAGAUGGUGAACUAUGCCGGAGUAGGGCAAAGCCAGAGGAAACUCUGGUGGAGGCUCGUAGCGGUGCUGACGUGCAAAUCGCUCGUCUGACUUGGGUAUAGGGGCGAAAGACUAAUCGAACCAUCUAGUAGCUGGUUCCCUCCGAAGUUUCUCUCAGGAUAGCGGGCCGACGGGUGUUGUUUUGUGUGGUAAAGCGAAUGAUUAGCGCACUCGGGGGCAAUAUGCCUUUGGGCGAUUCUCAAACUUUCAAUACGCAAGGGUGCCGCUGCUUGGUUGAGCGGCACCGGCAAAAACGUCGGCCCUGUGGGCCACUUUUGGUAAGCAGAACUGGCGAUACGGGAUGAACCGUAAGUGUGGUUAAGGCGCCAAACUGCCCGCUUAU